This 253-nucleotide ribosomal RNA is filed under the name uncultured bacterium. RNAcentral's name for it is "partial 16S ribosomal RNA". It matches the Rfam family "Bacterial small subunit ribosomal RNA", at positions 524 to 776 of the family's 1533-position model. The record is from RNAcentral.
UACAGAGGGUGCUAGCGUUGUUCGGAAUUAUUGGGCGUAAAGAGCUCGUAGGCGGUUUGUCGCGUCUGCUGUGAAAACCUAAGGCUCAACCUUGGGCUUGCAGUGGGUACGGGCAGACUAGAGUGCGGUAGGGGUGACUGGAAUUCCUGGUGUAGCGGUGGAAUGCGCAGAUAUCAGGAGGAACACCGAUGGCGAAGGCAGGUCACUGGGCCGCAACUGACGCUGAGGAGCGAAAGCAUGGGGAGCGAACAGG